This 877-nucleotide long non-coding RNA is filed under the name Setaria italica (foxtail millet). RNAcentral's name for it is "long non-coding RNA (SITA_LNC005313)". The record is from RNAcentral. Lineage: Eukaryota; Viridiplantae; Streptophyta; Magnoliopsida; Poales; Poaceae.
GAUCUUGCACGGUGCACCAUCGUGUCCGAGCUCUCCAACAAGGAUUUUGACUCCUAUGUCCUCUCUGAGUCGAGCCUGUUUAUCUAUCCUCUGAAGAUUGUCAUCAAAACAUGUGGGACUACCAAGCUCCUGCUCACCAUUCCAAGGAUUAUUGAGCUUGCUGAAGAGCUGUCUAUGCCGCUUGCUGCUGUGAAGUACUCCCGUGGGAUGUUCAUCUUCCCCGGUGCACAGCCAGCCCCCCACAGGAGCUUCUCUGAGGAGGUUGCUGCCCUUAACCGCUACUUUGGUGGCCUGAAGUCUGGUGGUAAUGCUUAUGUGAUUGGAGAUCCUGCAAGACCUGGACAGAAGUGGCACAUCUACUAUGCCACCGAGUACCCAGAGCAACCCAUGGUUAACCUUGAGAUGUGCAUGACUGGUCUGGACAAGAAGAAAGCUUCAGUCUUUUUCAAGACUUCUGCUGAUGGCCACACAACGUGUGCCAAAGAAAUGACCAAGCUCUCUGGUAUCUCUGAAAUUAUUCCUGAGAUGGAGAUCUGUGAUUUUGACUUUGAACCCUGCGGCUACUCCAUGAACGCUAUCCAUGGCUCUGCUUUCUCCACCAUUCAUGUGACGCCUGAGGAUGGUUUCAGCUAUGCCAGCUAUGAAGUUAUGGGCUUCGACGCCACUGCACUUGCCUACGGCGACCUCGUGAAGAGGGUCCUCAGGUGCUUUGGCCCUUCGGAGUUCUCUGUUGCUGUGACUAUCUUUGGUGGGCGUGGCCAAGCCGCGACAUGGGGCAUGAAGCUUGAUGCUGAGGUUUACGACUGCAACAACAUGGUAGAGCAGGAGCUGCCCGGUGGUGUGCUUAUCUACCAGAGCUUUUCUGUUACUGAAGAUG